RNAcentral lists this ribosomal RNA (497 nucleotides) under uncultured bacterium. RNAcentral describes it as "partial 16S ribosomal RNA". It matches the Rfam family "Bacterial small subunit ribosomal RNA", at positions 28 to 507 of the family's 1533-position model. The record is from RNAcentral.
GAUGAACGCUGGCGGCGUGCCUAAUACAUGCAAGUCGAGCGAACAGAUCAGGAGCUUGCUCCUUUGACGUUAGCGGCGGACGGGUGAGUAACACGUGGAUAACCUACCUAUAAGACUGGGAUAACUUCGGGAAACCGGAGCUAAUACCGGAUAACAUAUUGAACCGCAUGGUUCAAUAGUGAAAGGCGGCUUUGCUGUCACUUAUAGAUGGAUCCGCGCCGUAUUAGCUAGUUGGUAAGGUAACGGCUUACCAAGGCAACGAUACGUAGCCGACCUGAGAGGGUGAUCGGCCACACUGGAACUGAGACACGGUCCAGACUCCUACGGUAGGCAGCAGUAGGGAAUCGUCCGCAAUGGGCGAAAGCCUGACGGAGCAACGCCGCGUGAGUGAUGAAGGUCUUCGGAUCGUAAAACUCUGUUAUCAGGGAAGAACAAAUGUGUAAGUAACUGUGCACAGCUUGACGGUACCGGAUCAGAAAGCCACGGCUAACUACGUG